CCGCCGUCUGCCCUCCCCCGCUCCCCGCAGUGUUUCUCGGGUGCCGAGUGCCGUCCCGCUCGCUCUGGCCUGCGCGUUUGCCGCCCGCGGGGCGGAUGCGGCGGGGCAGCUGCGGGGGAGCCGGGCCUGGACCUCCGGGGGUGUAGAGGGAAGCAGCUCAGGUGCUGAGGCAUAAGAGGACAAGGGCAGGACGAAGGAGGGAGUCCACCCAGAGCUCCUCUCUGCCUCACCAUCUUUUUCUGGAAGACUCAGUGGGGUUUCUUUCAACCCUGCGAGUUUCUGUCCACUGAUUUAUCUCAAGAGGAACCCGAGAGCUAAACUGAAAAUUUGUGGCUUUACAGCCUGGAGCAAGUGACAGCUUCUCCCAGAACCUCAGUUUUUCCACCAGUGAAAUGGGGGUCUCUGUCACCAGGGCUGGCAUGCAGUGGCACGAUCAUAGCUCUCUACAGCCUCAAGGCGCUGGGAGUCCAGGGGUGAGCCAUGCACCCGGCCAGUAAGUUUUCUUUAACAUCACGCAGUGCCACCACCUUCUGGGACAAGGCCCCGCUGCCCUUGCCCAGGUGUGCGGAAAGAUACCUGCACAGUGCGUUCAUCAAACCUGCGUGCCGUGCCUCCACCACCCACAGCUCCAGAGGUGCCUACUCCCUGAUAGUAAAAUGAUCUGCUUGACAAAGAGCCUUUCGAUCUGAUAGGAUUCAGACCUGUGGCACCCAGAUGUCCCCGCACCUGGAAUAUGUGAUAUUUUGGGAACACUCGCAGGACGAUGAAAUAUUCUCUGAAGGGAAACAAAGACGUAGAAACUGAGGCAUAGAGCAGUUAUGUAACAUGCCUAAGACCUGGCUCCAGAAUUGUGCAAACUGGCUCUAGAGUCGAGAAUGCUUAAUAUUACACUAUCACCUCUCUGUUAAGUAAUGUUCUAUUCCUAUAUAAAUAGAUCUCCCUGACCCUCUAGUUCCUCUGCCAUAAAAUGGGGCCGUAACACCUACUUCAGGAUAUAUUUGAGAAAUAAAUGAGACAAAGUAUGUGAAGUGCCUGAGACACAGUAUGCGUGAAAUAAAGUAACUGACCAUCGCCCAUGUCCUGGGCAUGUUACCCAGGCCGGGCUGCAGAGGCAUGCUGCGCACGGAUCCUGGUCUGGCAAGGGCACAGCCUCUGAGGAAUGCUCACAGAGAAGCUGUGUUUGUGGUGUCCAAACUGCCCAGCAGUGACUCAGGCUGACGUUGCCCCAAGAGGGCCCCUCAGUGGAAAGACCAUGCACUUCUGCACAGGAAAAGCCGAGGCCCCACGCGUGAGCAAGAUUCCUGAAGUGUGGCCAGCCUGGCCUGGAGGCACUGCGGCUUGGAGUUGGAUAGACCUGCACAUCCGGGCUCUGCCCCUGGCUCUGGCCAAGGGUGUGUCACCCCACAUGCAUUGAUUAACCUCAGAGAUUUCGUUUCCUCAUUUUUCAAUGUGGACAGAGAUACUUAAACGGUUAUUUUGAGGCUUAAAUGAGACAAUGUAUGUAAAGAGUUUAGCCUAGUUCUUGGCACAUUCAAAGUGUUCAGUAGCUAUUACUGGUGUUCUUUAAUAGUCAGUUCUAAUUGUUAGAAAGUUACUGAGCUGGACUUGGUCUCCUGUAACUUCCUGGCAUUGCUGUGAAAUCUGCAUACUCCUUCAGUGUGUGUGCCAGGGACUGGGCCAGGUCUGUGAGCACAGUGGAAAAUAAGGACCAGUCCCUGUUUAUGGGAGAAGCACUUCCUCCACAUGAGGGUCAUUGGGAUGUGUAAUGAUAGCUAUCACGGAUUCCUUGAUUUACCUCAUUCCCAGGUUCAACUUCCCUCUCCUGGAUCCAUUUAGCUACACAUCUUGCAUCUUGUUUGUUGAUUUCAAUUAAGUUUCAAAAAAAUACUUAUAUACAAACACAAUGAAAUACUUAUAUACAAACACAAUGAGUGAGAUGUGCAACGUUUGGGGGAUGGUCACGCCUGAGGCUUGGACUUGAGGGGAGAAGGGAGCAAGGGCAAUAUACGUAAUCUUAACACUUGUACCCCCAUAAUACGCUAAAAUAAAAUAAAAUAAAAACUCCUCCUUCAGGAAGCCUUCCCAAAUUGCACUAAGCAAUUGUAUCACCCGUUUUUGUUUUUUUUUUUAAUUUCAGCAUAUUGCAGGGGUACAAAUGUUUAGGUUGCACAUAUUGCCUUUG
Microcebus murinus (gray mouse lemur) is the source of this 2182-nucleotide non-coding RNA. The record is from RefSeq and is a predicted model, not a curated record. NCBI's taxonomy places the organism in Eukaryota, Metazoa, Chordata, Mammalia, Primates, Cheirogaleidae.